RNAcentral lists this unclassified non-coding RNA (296 nucleotides) under Hevea brasiliensis (rubber tree). Lineage: Eukaryota; Viridiplantae; Streptophyta; Magnoliopsida; Malpighiales; Euphorbiaceae. The record is from RNAcentral.
GGGCUUUUAACAACAGCAAUGGAAUACCUCAAACUUUUAGGGUCUGAGGAAUUGUCUCCUGAACUUAUAAUCUUACGAGAUCGUAUUGCCCUCUCCACAGAACCUGAUAAAGAUGCCAAGACUACGGCUUUUGAAAAUUCUCAACAGCAAGGUGGGUUACUAUAUCCUGAACAAUCUAGUUUUGGUGUGUCUGACGCCUCCCAGCACUAUUAUCCGGAAACGGCACCAUCACAAGUUCUUCAAAGCGUUCCUAGCAGUCCAUACAGUGAAAAUUAUCAACAAACUCUUGGUCCUUC